CUGGACACAGAUUUCUUCCAUCUUAAAACGACGAGGCUGAACUACAAGCUCUCUCAGACUUCUUGCAGCUCUAUUAUCAGAUUGCAGCUAUAAAGGGCCAUGAACAGGCUGAAAAAUGUUUUGGGAGUUAAGCUUGUGAUAUUGGCAGCUGAAAAAUGGACAGAAAACAUGGGAAGUACGUAGUGAAUAUUGAACACUCUGGAAACCAACCGCUGUUUCUGAGCACAAGAAGCAUGAAGCUCACAGUUCAGCAUGUCAGUUUCCACCAUCAACUGAUGUAACUAGUGAUGUUGGU
Molecule: long non-coding RNA, 295 nt
Organism: Pteropus alecto (black flying fox)
Lineage: Eukaryota; Metazoa; Chordata; Mammalia; Chiroptera; Pteropodidae
Exons: 3
Source: RefSeq, a predicted model, not a curated record